GAUGAACGCUGGCGGCGUGCCUAAUACAUGCAAGUCGAGCGAAUGAUGAGGAGCUUGCUCCUCUGAUUUAGCGGCGGACGGGUGAGUAACACGUGGGUAAUCUGCCUGUAAGACGGGGAUAACUCCGGGAAACCGGGGCUAAUACCGGAUAACAAGAGAAGAAGCAUUUCUUCUUUUUGAAAGUCGGUUUUUGAUGACACGUACAGAUGAGCUCGGGGCGCAUUAGCUAGUUGGUGAGGUCACGGCUCACCAAGGCGACGAUGCGUAGCCGACCUGAGAGGGUGAUCGGCCACACUGGGACUGGGACACGGCCCAGACUCCUACGGGAGGCAGCAGUAGGGAAUCUUCGGCAAUGGGCGAAAGCCUGACCGAGCAACGCCGCGUGAGCGAUGAAGGCCUUCGGGUCGUAAAGCUCUGUCGUUAGAGAAGAACAAGUACGAGAGUAACUGCUCGUACCUUGACGGUACCUAACCAGAAAGCCACGGCUAACUACGUGCCAGCCGCCGCCGUAA
This 512-nucleotide ribosomal RNA is filed under the name uncultured bacterium. Its description in RNAcentral is "partial 16S ribosomal RNA". It matches the Rfam family "Bacterial small subunit ribosomal RNA", at positions 28 to 523 of the family's 1533-position model. The record is from RNAcentral.